UACGUAGGGACCAAGCGUUGUUCGGAUUUACUGGGCGUAAAGGGCGCGUAGGCGGCUUGUCAAGUCACUUGUGAAAUCUCUGGACUUAACCCAGAACGGCCAAGUGAAACUGACAUGCUAGAGUGCAGAAGGGGCAAUCGGAAUUCUUGGUGUAGCGGUGAAAUGCGUAGAUAUCUGGAGGAACACCGGUAGCGAAGGCGGCAUCCUGGACCGACAUUGACGCUGAGGCGCGAAAGCCAGGGGAGCAAACGGG
This 253-nucleotide ribosomal RNA is filed under the name uncultured bacterium. RNAcentral describes it as "partial 16S ribosomal RNA". It matches the Rfam family "Bacterial small subunit ribosomal RNA", at positions 524 to 776 of the family's 1533-position model. The record is from RNAcentral.